CAGAGAACAGGUCUACACAAAACUGGUUUUGAGGCAGAAGUGUCCCACCAGAUGCAAGCAAUGGGAAAUCAGGAGGAAGACGAGGGAAGCUCAAGCACAAAGCUGUCAGGAUUCAAUGAAGAGACCACAGCUCCAAAUGAGUCACCUCCUUGUAAGAAGAAAGCCUUAGAUGCGCUGUUUGGCGAUUCCUUCACCCAAAGAGAAAGAAAAUCCACAAGCGAGACAGCCAGAGCAGAGGUGUUAAGGUACCGAGCAAAAGAUGCGUUGCCUUUGACUGA
Long non-coding RNA from Coregonus clupeaformis (lake whitefish), 278 nucleotides. RefSeq lists it as uncharacterized. The record is from RefSeq and is a predicted model, not a curated record. Lineage: Eukaryota; Metazoa; Chordata; Actinopteri; Salmoniformes; Salmonidae. The transcript is spliced from 3 exons.